RNAcentral lists this ribosomal RNA (322 nucleotides) under Clostridioides difficile. RNAcentral's name for it is "bacterial LSU rRNA". It matches the Rfam family "Bacterial large subunit ribosomal RNA", at positions 1 to 322 of the family's 2925-position model. Lineage: Bacteria; Bacillati; Bacillota; Clostridia; Peptostreptococcales; Peptostreptococcaceae. The record is from RNAcentral.
UGGUCAAGUUAUUAAGGGUGCAGGGCGGAUGCCUUGGCACUAGGAGCCGAUGAAGGACGUGAUAAGCUGCGAUAAGCUUCGGGGAGUUGCACGUAAACUUUGAUCCGAAGAUUUCCGAAUGAGGAAACUCACUUAGAGUAAUGUCUAAGUAUCAUUAAGUGAAUACAUAGCUUAAUGAGGGGAACUCAGGGAACUGAAACAUCUAAGUACCUGAAGGAAGAGAAAGAAAUUCGAUUCCGUAAGUAGCGGCGAGCGAACGCGGAUUAGCCCAAACCAAUAAAGUUUUCUUUAUUGGGGUUGAGGACAUACCACAUAUAAGAGG